RNAcentral lists this ribosomal RNA (254 nucleotides) under uncultured bacterium. RNAcentral's name for it is "partial 16S ribosomal RNA". It matches the Rfam family "Bacterial small subunit ribosomal RNA", at positions 524 to 776 of the family's 1533-position model. The record is from RNAcentral.
UACGGAGGGUGCAAGCGUUUGUCCGGAAUCACUGGGCGUAAAGGGCGCGUAGGCGGCUCAUGAAGGCUGUGGUGAAAGUCCGGGGCUCAACCUCGGAUCGGCCGUGGCGACUCGUGGGCUGGAGCACUGUAGAGGCGGGUGGAAUUCCGGGUGUAGCGGUGGAAUGCGUAGAGAUCCGGAAGAACACCAGUGGCGAAGGCGGCCCGCUGGGCAGUGGCUGACGCUGAGGCGCGAAAGCGCGGGGAGCGAACGGG